RNAcentral lists this ribosomal RNA (720 nucleotides) under uncultured cyanobacterium. Its description in RNAcentral is "bacterial SSU rRNA". It matches the Rfam family "Bacterial small subunit ribosomal RNA", at positions 796 to 1533 of the family's 1533-position model. Lineage: Bacteria; Bacillati; Cyanobacteriota. The record is from RNAcentral.
CUAGCCGUAAACGAUGGACACUAGACGUUGGCCGUAUCGACCCGGUCAGUGUCGAAGCUAACGCGUUAAGUGUCCCGCCUGGGGAGUACGCACGCAAGUGUGAAACUCAAAGGAAUUGACGGGGGCCCGCACAAGCGGUGGAGCAUGUGGUUUAAUUCGAUGCAACGCGAAGAACCUUACCAGGGCUUGACAUGCCGCGAACCCUGCGGAAACGUGGGGGUGCCUUCGGGAGCGCGGACACAGGUGGUGCAUGGCUGUCGUCAGCUUGUGUCGUGAGAUGUUGGGUUAAGUCCCGCAACGAGCGCAACCCUUGUUCCUAGUUGCCAGCAUUGAGUUGGGCACUCUAGGGAGACUGCCGGUGACAAACCGGAGGAAGGUGAGGACGACGUCAAGUCAGCAUGCCCCUUACGCUCUGGGCUACACACGUGCUACAAUGGCGCGGACAAAGGGUCGCGAGCGCGCGAGCGUGAGCCAAUCCCAAAAACCGCGUCUCAGUUCAGAUCGCAGGCUGCAACUCGCCCGCGUGAAGGCGGAAUCGCUAGUAAUCGCAGAUCAGCAUGCUGCGGUGAAUACGUUCCCGGGCCUUGUACACACCGCCCGUCACACCAUGGGAGCUGGCCAUGCCCGAAGUCGGAGCACCCGCCGAAGGCAGGGCUGGUGACUGGGGUGAAGUCGUAACAAGGUAGCCGUACCGGAAGGUGCGGCUGGAUCACCUCCUUU